AGCUAGUUGGUGAGGUAACGGCUCACCAAGGCAACGAUGUCUAGGGGAUCUGAGAGGAUAAUCCCCCACACUGGUACUGAGACACGGACCAGACUCCUACGGGAGGCAGCAGUAAGGAAUAUUGCGCAAUGGACGAAAGUCUGACGCAGCAACGCCGCGUGGGUGAUGAAGUUUUUCGGAACGUAAAACCCUGUCAGGAGGGAAGAACCUCCCGAUUUAUUCGGGACUGACGGUACCUCCAGGGGAAGCUCCGGCCAACUCCGUGCCAGCAGCCGCGGUAACACGGGGGGAGCAAGCGUUGUUCGGAUUUACUGGGCGUAAAGGGCGUGUAGGCGGAUGGGUCAGUCAGAUGUGAAAUCCAAGAGCUUAACUCUUGGCCUGCAUUUGAUACUUCUCAUCUAGAGUAUGGGAGAGGAGAUCGGAAUUUCCUGGUGUAGCGGUGAAAUGCGUAGAUAUCAGAAGAACACCGGUGGCNAGGCGGAUCUCUGGCUAAUACUGACGCUGAUGCGCGAAAGCUGGGGGAGCAAACAGGAUUAGAUACCCUGGUAGUCCCAGCCGUAAACGAUGGGCACUAGGUGUUGGGGGUAUUGAUCCCCUCAGUGCCGGAGUUAACGCAUUAAGUGCCCCGCCUGGGGAGUACGCUCGCAAGGGUGAAACUCAAAGGAAUUGACGGGGGCCCGCACAAGCGGUGGAGCAUGUGGUUUAAUUCGAUGCAACGCGAAGAACCUUACCGGGGUUUGACAUGCCCGUCGUACCUUGAUGAAAGUCGAGGGUCAGUUCGGCUGGACGGUGCACAGGUGCUACAUGGCUGUCGUCAGCUCGUGUCGUGAGAUGUUGGGUUAAGUCCCGCAACGAGCGCAACCCUUACCCUUAGUUGCCAGCACAUAAUGGUGGGAACUCUAAGGGGACUGCCUCGGAUAACGGGGAGGAAGGUGGGGAUGACGUCAAGUCCUCAUGGCCCUUAUGCUCCGGGCUACACACGUGCUACAAUGGUCGGUACAGAGGGCUGCGAAACCGCGAGGUGGAGCUAAUCCCAGAAAGCCGAUCUCAGUUCGGAUUGGAGUCUGCAACUCGACUCCAUGAAGUCGGAAUCGCUAGUAAUCGCGAAUCAGCAGGUCGCGGUGAAUACGUUCCCGGGCCUUGUACACACCGCCCGUCA
This 1159-nucleotide ribosomal RNA is filed under the name uncultured bacterium. RNAcentral describes it as "bacterial SSU rRNA". It matches the Rfam family "Bacterial small subunit ribosomal RNA", at positions 243 to 1399 of the family's 1533-position model. The record is from RNAcentral.